Manis pentadactyla (Chinese pangolin) is the source of this 880-nucleotide long non-coding RNA. RefSeq lists it as uncharacterized. The transcript has 2 exons. The record is from RefSeq and is a predicted model, not a curated record. NCBI's taxonomy places the organism in Eukaryota, Metazoa, Chordata, Mammalia, Pholidota, Manidae.
GGACGGCCUUUGUCUUCUCACAUGCUUGUAGGCAGAAUGGGAAAGCACCUUCCCCCAGAUCUGAAUGCAGCAUGGGAAAGCACAAGCUUGAGAACAACUGGUGUAGUCCUUGGAAGUUAUCUGCCCACAAAAACAUAUCUUGUCCUCGAAGACGAGCCAAGACUCCUCACUCUGAAAAUAGGGAGACCUUGAGGAUGUGUGAAAACACCACCCCUGCUUCUGGCCUGCCCCCCCCGAGAAGGGAAAGAUGAGUAUAGCACUUGGCUGAGGUCCGAGAAAGGCAGUAUAAAAAUAAAGGUGCUGUGCCACAUUGGGGCUGCAGCCAUUGUCUGUCUGUCUGUGUUGUCUGUGUUUUUUGUUCUCUCAUUUCACCCAAAGAAGAUGAGCGGCACACUACAUCAGGCACCCAAACGUGGGGCGUCCUCUCAGAGUGAGUUGUACAUAUAUUCAGCUCCACACCUCCCCUUCAGACUGUUCGACUUUGACGGCAGGCACCGUCACAUGGCACCCGAACAGGGACCUGAAGUACAGAGGAGAAAGUGAGAGCCGGCGCCAGAUAAUAGUGCCCACGAAGCAGGCAGAAUGGGAAAGCACCUUCCCCCACGUCUGAAUACAGCAUGGGAAAGCACAAGCUUGAGAACAACCGGUGCCGUCCUUGGAAGUUACCUGCCCACAAAAACAUAUCUUGCCCUCGAAGAUGAGCCAAGACUCCUCACUCUGAAAAUAGGGAGACCUUGAGGAUGUGUGAAAACACCGCCCCUGCUUCUGGCCUGCCCCCCCCGAGAAGGGAAAGAUGAGUAUAGCACUUGGCUGAGGUCCGAGAAAGGCAGUAUAAAAAUAAAGGUGCUGUGCCACAUUGGGGCUGCAGCCAUUGUCUGUC